Molecule: long non-coding RNA, 972 nt
Organism: Lycium barbarum (goji berry)
Lineage: Eukaryota; Viridiplantae; Streptophyta; Magnoliopsida; Solanales; Solanaceae
Exons: 2
Source: RefSeq, a predicted model, not a curated record
AAGAAUACAGCCGCCGUUCUCUCUCUUUCUCUUUCCCUCCGCCUCUCUCCUCUCCCAUUUAGAGUCAAACCUCAGUCUCCCUUUCACCCUGCCAGAUCUUGCCCGCCCAUUUUGGGCAAAAGGUUUCAAUAUUUUUGUAUUCUGCCCAGCUAAUAGCAACGUUCAACGGCCGCACAUGAUCGUCUCUCUCAUCUCUUUCCUUUUGCAUUUCUUUCUUCAACCAUGGCAGAUCCUUGCCAUCCCUUUUUCGUGUAAAUAGCUACACGGUCAACGCAAGAGGCCAAGCAAACGUUUGAAAUCUGAUUUUAUACAGAGAAAAAAAAAAACAAAAGUAUUUCAACCCGUGACACCCCUCAGAUGAUACUGGCUGCCACACUUUUGGACUGUUCUUGAACGGUCGAUUUUGAAAUUGGAAACCUUUCAACUUAAAAUCCCGCCCAAAUUGAAACCCUAGACUUUAAUUUUUCGGGUCCGUUGGCUUACCCCUAAAUUUUAUGCGAGUUGAUAAAUUACUUUUAGCUAUUCUUGAACAUUUUCUGGACAUAAAACUUUCUGGUUCGUUUCGAUCAUCUGAGGUUCGAAUCGUUCGUCGUAGUCGAGUACAGAUUCGAGACCCGACGCCCCAUUUCACUGUACACGGAAAAGAGUUUCAUUUUUGAGACUCAACGACGUCGUUAUCACACCGAGUCCGCUCAUCGUUAUCCCCCUGGCUCUUUCUUAAAAUGCAUCUGGACAAAAAAUGAAAGAGGAGGGGUGAAAUCCUGAACCUCAAACGCAAGCUGGCUGCUACAGUGCCUCUGUUUUCUUCCAUGCUCGGGUUGUGUAGGAGGCAUUAGAUAUUUAGCUAAAUGUUCCAUUAAGUUGUUUCGUUGUGUUAGUUUAUUGCCUCUGUUUGCUUGUGUGGUAUUUGGUGAACAAUAGGACUAACAAUCGGUUUAUUUAGUCAUAAUAAGUUUCAUCUAUAACUAGUAA